Non-coding RNA from Sus scrofa (pig), 7091 nucleotides. The record is from RefSeq and is a predicted model, not a curated record. Lineage: Eukaryota; Metazoa; Chordata; Mammalia; Artiodactyla; Suidae.
GGACCCAAACUUCACAGUGUUAAUGUAAAAGACAAGGUAUGUCCUAUUUUUGGAGACAUGAACUCCAUACGGUAGCAUUCAAAUGAACAGAUGUGCUAGAACCAAUAGCUUUGGGGAGACUAACAAAGUAACAUUCUGGAUUUUUUUUUUUUUUUGCAGUUUUUAUUUCAAUAUAAGAUCUUUAAAGCUAAUCUGGUAAAAUCAAGAGUUUCUCAGUGCUUCUGGAAGGGACUCUCUAAUCCUGUAGAGAGCAAACAUUACACUAGACACACUGACUUGAGAUGAGAUUGGAUUUUACAGAGAUGUAGCUGAAUCUUUUAUGGCCUGAAUGAUUAGAGCACGUUAACUCUCCAGCCUGAUUUUUUGUGUCUAGAGACUAGUUAAGAGAGAGCAGGGGGAGUGGAUUCCAAUUCUCCUCCAGGAAGAUGUAUGGAAUAAAAAAGGUAAUUUUAAAUGUUUCUACUUUUUCCCUGGAUGUCUUUAAACCCCCAAAGUAGGCCAAACACUUCUGCUUUGAUCACGUAAUUGGAUAAGGAAGAUAAAUGUGGAUCUCAAAUGCAGCCCUGAAAUGUAUGCGAGAAAGGGAUUGCCUUUGAAGUGUUUUUCUCUUUGUAAAGUGUUGUGCUUUGCAGAAAAAAAGGAAAAGCAAACCCAUAUUUGGGUCCUUUGUAGCUGAUAGUCCUGGGAAAGGGUAUAAAACCCCACAGCCAUUCUGAAACUUGCUGCCCAAAGCUACGUGUGUGAGCUGAUGUGAACAUAUUUCUUCAUUCUCAUGAAGAAAUAAUAGAGACGAGAAAACAUUCCAGUUGCAGUUUGCCUUUCGAAUAAAGGUUUUUGCACAAUAACACAGUUUUGUAAAUAAUUAUGUUAAAUCCUAAGGAUGUUCCCAGCAGAUCCGAUGCAGAACAGGACCCUUUUUGCCUCCAUCCUCACAUUUGCAUCCCCCACAAGUGUUUUCUCUGCCCUGUACUUCCCAAGCUUGAAGCACUGCCACUACACCUCUUAGCCAUAUACCAUGUCAUUAUUUAUGUAACAUUUGUCUUUAAAUCAUACAUUUUUAUUCAAAUGAAAAUAUUAUUUUUAAAAUAAUACUAGGAAAUCAUAGAUUUAAUGUGCUUAUUCUAUUGCUUUUUAAUACAUAUGAGAUUAUGUAAUUAUUAAAUCUGAAAAAAAAAGUUCCCCCGUGUGUCACCCACCAUCAUCUGGGUAUCCCCACUGGUUCACAGUCUGCAUUUUGGGAGAUGUUGUUUGCUUCCUGGGCUUUGAUCCCCACCCAACAAGGUACAGCCAAACUCCAUACCUUACCUGUGGUGUUUGGCUUAACUGAAAGGAAGAGCUUAAUUCUCCUUGAUCUAUGGAGACUUGUCGAGUGAACUUGCCAACCGUAAAGUGCCUAGGAUGUUACUCAGGAUGCACAGGGUAUCUGCUAGGUACCAGGUGAUACAUUAGGUGCAGGUGUUGGGGGCAGGCAGGGAAGGGCAUAGAGAAGAGAAGCAGAAUUGGAGCCUACAAACAUUUUAUUGAACACAGGCAAGGCAAAGGCAGAGGAGCCUACGAUACAGAUGACAGCUAGCUCUACUCCCAGUGCUGAGUGUGACUGUGAAAGAUGUAUAGCAUUUAUGGGGCAAAUGAGGAAAUGAGCACUAUUUCAGAAUAGAGGGGAUGGCAUUGAGCAAGGAAGCAAGUCAACAACUGAUGAUGGGGAGAGGGUAUUCCACUCAGAGAAAAAAGUGGAAGCAAAGGUGAGGAGGUGGGAGAGUGGAGGGCACUUCAAGGUAGAGCCAGAUAGCUAUGGCUGCAGCCUGGGAGCAUGUCUGUGGGCAUCUGCAGAGGGAUAAGGGUAGGUAGGUAGCAUCACUCAGAGCUUUACAUUCCAUGUUAAGAAUAUACAAAAAGCCAUCGCAUUUACCUUAUAUUUAGUCCUCUUAUUCUUACUUUACAAAUUUAUUCAUUUCUAUAACACCUCUGCCAGGUAAAUCAUGCAGGUUGGUUACCUGUCCUUUUUCUUUCUUUUCUCCCCUCAUCUUUUAAAAAAUAAAAUACAGAGACUAAUGGUCAGAGAAAUAAAGAUCAUAUAGCUACUAAAUUUAAAAUGUAGCUUUUGGAGUUCCCUGGCAGCCUAGUGGUUAAGGAUCAAACCUGCUGUGGCUCAGGUUUGAUCCCCGGCCCAGGAACUUUCACAUGCCAUGGGUGCAGCCAAAAAAAAUGUAGAUUUCUUUUUUCUCCCUUAAAAAAGUGAUCUUUUGGGGAGGAAAACAUGAACCCACAUCUGGAUAGUCGAGCGAGUGUGGCUGUGACUACAAGAGCAAUAUGAGUUCAGGUACCAGAACCUUUAAUUUCAUGCCUGGAAGGAACAUGAGCGGCACUCUCCUGUACACAAGGAUAGAGCAGAGCACGUUAUUUGGGGCCAUAGCGCCCUUUCUCUAUUCCACUAGCAGGUGAGGUGCAGGGCUUCUCCUGGAAACCUGCUUUCAUGCCUGGCUUCUGCUCCUGAACUUAAGCUUUGCGGGGUCUUGUUUCUUCUUGUAUGCCCAGGACACAGCCUGCUGCCUGGCCCAAGGCAGGCUAUAUAAAGGCUGAUGGAAUGAGGCUGACUAGAAAGUAGAAUGAAAAGAAGGAAGACAUGCAGGAAGGAAGGAGGUUUGCAAAACUAUUUAUCUCUUAAAACGAAUCAUCGUCUACAAGAUGUUUUAUUAGGCAUUUUUUAUAUGUAGUCAUGCCGUGGGGAGUUUUAGGGUCAUCAAUUCAAGACUAAAGACAACACUCAAGAGACUUAACUUGAGCCUCAUAGAUCUGAUCCUUAUUGGCUGUAUGGCCUUGGGUAUAUUACUUCACUACUCAGGCUGUUUCAAAGUCUGUAAAAUGGACAUAAUGAUACUCAUCCCCCAGAAAUGUAGGAGGAUAUGAGGUACAUUUAAAACUUAUAUUUGUCUUGCAAGCCAUUUCCUGAAUGCUGAUUAUAUGCACAAAAAAUAAACUCUCAGUGAAUGUUGACUUUCAUCACCUGUCAUCAUCAUCAUUCUGCUAAGAACUUCUACAAGCUCACAGUGACAGAGAGCAGAGUGCUGUGGCCGAACCAGGCCUCAGUUCCAACUGUGGGCUGAUGGGGUGUGGCUCCCCUCCCAGCACACCAGACUUCCAGGUUGCAGAGAACCUAGUCACUUUUGCAUGGGAACAGAAAGGUCUCCAGGGAGGAAAUGGCCAUGGAAGUCAGGCUAGCCGGUCAUGUUUAGCUAGGAGCUCUUGGCUCAGUUGAUUUAGGAAGAAAGGAAUGUCCUCAGCAGCCUGGACAAGGAUCUGCCCAAGGACAAGAACAGGCCAGGUGACUGAGCUUGAGGUGCAUCUCCCCAAGUCUAGCAGUGGACAUUUGGCAGGCAAAGCCCUCUGGCUUCUGGUGAAGAGCAGAAUAAAGAAAGCAAGAGCUUUCAUUUCUUUCUUUCAUCUCUCCUCAUGGCCAGGAUUUUAGGAAGUUGUUCCUUUAGGCUCUUACCCCUGGCAAAGAUGGAAUCUCUCUCGGCUCUGGUUUUCAGUUUCCACACUAAGCCUCUGGAUUAUGGAACAGUAGCUGUAGAGGAUGUUUUUGGAAACAACCAAGGGUUUGAGUAGUGCAUGUAGAGUUUUCCAACUUCAACUCGAGAAAGGAUAGAUUAUCAUGUUCUGAUGGUUUCAGCAUUUUAGACUUAAAAAGGAAACACCUCCUCCUCUGCACCGAGGGAGAUGGUUAAACCAUUAGUGUAUACAAAUCCUGAAAUGGGGAGAGGCAGGGAAGAGGAAUCCAACUUUCCGCCAACCUGUGUGAUGCUUAUUCUUUGGGAUAUCACUCUGAAGAGGCACUGUUUAUAGCACAAGCUGAUGAAGAUAGAUCUCUGAUUCUCUAGAUUUCUGGAAAACAAUAUUUGAGCUGUAUAGAACUAAUAUCCUUGAAAAUAUCAUGACACAGAAAUACACAGUGGUCUUUAAAUAUUCAUCUCAUAAAUUGGAAGUAAGUCCGGUUAUUGAUUCAUUCUGUUCUGGAAUAGAUUAUUCAGCAAAAACUAGUUUGAUGACAUCAUAUUAGAUCUAGUCUCGGAAAUAGAAGUGUGUAUCUUUUAUUCAAAAAUUUUGAAAUGGAUGAAAUAUCCUAAAUUCCUUUGAUGAGAGCAACAUGAAUAAUAGGAUCAUAUUGCUCAUGGUAUCAUUUAAGAUUCACAGGUAUGAUCGAAACUCUACAUUUUUUCUCAACCACAUUUCUUUUCAUCUUUAUGAUGCUCCUACAGGGAACCCCCUGGCAGCCUAGGCAGCAUUAAGAGCACAGGGUGAAAAUCUCAGUCCUGCCACUUCCUGGCUAUGUGACCUCAAGCAAGUUUCUUAGACUAUAGGUACCCAGUUUCCUAUGAUGAUGAUAAUUUUAAAAUGAUAAUAAAAUGAGGGUGAUAAUAAUAGUGAUAAUAGUAGUGUAAUACCUAUCACACAAGGUUACUAUGAGAAUUCAAUGAAUUAAUGUUUAGCAAGAUUUUGAAAUGGUAUCUGGCAUAUAAAACUAGAUAAGCAUUUCUUAUCAUCCUUCAUCAAAUAACCUAUCCUUCCUCCUCCCCUUCCCCUCUUCCUCCUUCUCUCUUUCUCUCUUCUGUCUCUCUCGGCUUGGUUUAGUUCUAAAAGAAGUACCUCAAACUAGAUGUCCAACCAGUACCUCAACCAAAACAGAACUGAGAUGUCAUCUCCUGACUCUCACCCUCUGACUGAUUCUUGGUCUAGAAGCUUUGGGUAUCAGGGAUCAUUUACUCUUAUGCACUGUUUUGUGUGGAAUGGCACGUGGCACAUAGACUCAAUAAAUGUCAGUGUUGAAGAAGGAGGACAAGAAGGGUGAGGAAGAGAAGUAAGAGGAAAAGAAAGUAGAGAUGAAAGUAUUGCAAUUAUGCUGAGAGUGAAAAUGAGAUAGUGUAUGGAAAGUGUUCUAUAAAUGGUACCACCAUCAUUACCAGAAAUGCCAUCCCUUCCAAAACUCUGGCCAUCUUCCCAUUCUGGGCCCAACUGAGUCAUCUCUCUCUUAAUUCUUACAAUCUUUCUCAAGACCACCCAGCUUCCAAUACCGCCCACUCCUAUUACUCUUUACCACUACUGCUAAAAUAUUUUCCCACAGUUACUCACAGAAACUAUUCAACAACCUCAAGUUCCUGGGCAGCUGUUCUUUCACAAUGAUGCUCUCCUCUGAUGGGUUCUUCUAACUCCCACAGUCCACUCACUGUCCUGGGUACCUAAUUGGAAUAACCUGUUUCUCUGUCUUCCAGUCCAGUCUCACUUCUUCUGUUAACAUGGAGUCAAUACUACUUUAAGAUUUUAAAGGAAAGUAUUAAGCAAAUAUAUCACAUCCCUUUUAGUAUUUCUAUGAGCUUAAUAAUUAAUGGGAAAAGGGGGAAGAUGAUUACUAUAGCCAAAGAUAUACAAAAAGACCUUCCAUUUUCUCUGCCAAAUCUUUAAUCCCUAACAAAAAAAAUUAAACUACUGGCACCAGUUUACUAUAGAGUUCUUGAUUAGUUGGGACAUACAUAUGAAUUUUUUUUCCAAUCACUGCUCCCAAGUGUACUAUAUUGAAUCCUCUUUGUGCUGGGUAUAUAGUUCCAUUAAUGAUGUCUUGGUCAAAGCUCAUUAUUCAGUUAUUGAAACUUAGUACUGUCCAGCUUAAAAUCUAAAUCUAAAUCUUCAAAGCAAGAUUCUUCUCUUUGAAGAACUAGAGUGGCAGGCAGGAUAACUUGGAAGGGAGGUGUCCCUCCAUCUCCCUCUUGGACACCAGUGCCCCCUGCUGUUAGAGGCAUGGAGGAAGGAUGGGGAGACAAGGGCUCCAUUUUUUUGUGGUCAAAUGAUUGUCCAUGGUGCACAGGGGUCCCUAGCCUCACUCUGGUUCCUGCUUGCUCCCUCUCUUGGAGGCCUCUGCUGACAUGGUGGCACUCCAUUUUGUUGAGAAUUCUCUUGCAAGGGCCACUCAAUGUUCCAUCUGCCUUGGCAGCUAUACACAUUCCCAGUCCUUUUCUAUGGCUUGGAUCAGGGCUACUCUGGCAGCUCAGUGACCAUCACCCCUCUCUUGGCCUCCAGUCCCCUUUGUUUGGGGCAUUACUGAGCAUCUUCCAUGGGUCAUGAAGCACUGCUCUGAGUGGGCUCACCUCACUUCCCAAACACAUCAAGCCAGGGAGCCUUCAGGUCCUGCUGACACAGAGGCUCCGGUCAACUCCCUUCAGAAAUCUCUAGGCCUGUCCCUGUAUUCUUCUGCACUCAGAUGCCAAGAAGUCACAUACAAGGACUCUGUUUUGAGAGGCCUCAGUCCCUCUGCACUUUCUUGCACCAGGGUUAAGCUAGAGCCUUCUUUUUGUAGGCAGUCCCAGUCUACUUGGGUGAUUUCAGUGGAGUCCCUUUCACUUGACUUAGAGGAGAGAAAACUCCCUCAUGGGGAGCAAGAGCAGCUUUACACCUCAAACACUGCACUCUGUCCAAGGAGGACCUCUAUUCUUUCCCAAUCCUUUCAUCCACUGAUUAGAACCAAAGAGAUGGAGUUGGAAUUGGAGGAGAUGAGGCUAAUUCUGUUGCAAACUAAGCCUACUGGUAGGUGUGUGGCCCUAACUGCUGGGAAGCCCUGCUGCUCCUUUUAGUACUGAGGCAUUUAGCAACUUUUGUUUUCAGUUCUGCUCUCUAAACCCAAUUUGGAAAACAGGAAAAGGCAUACAGGAUGACACAUCUUGUGACCUUUAUGUCUGGAUGCUUCUAGUUUCUUUUUCCCCCAUCUAUCUAGAGUUGCCUUGUUAUUCUGCUCAAAAGGAUACAUCUUAAGGAGAACUACAACAUGGAGAGGGUGAUGGAAAUUUGUAAAAGCUGUUCUGUUUGGUUGGCCCUGAGAAUCACAGCUUCCUCAGGACGACCAGGAGAGGGAUGGAGGGUACUUGGCUUUCUGUGCUAACCCAAAUCCCAUCAUUGGAAACAGCAGAGAAUUCAGCAAGCAAGGGGCAGUACUUCAAUGGAGAUACAAUGAAGACAGCAAUGAUUUAGGUUGAAGCCAGGUUGAUAAUGACAUCAAGAACAGUUACAAAUUUCAGCACAGAAUAAAGUCUUUGACAGAUUCCUAA